Long non-coding RNA from Cornus florida, 5448 nucleotides. RefSeq lists it as uncharacterized. The transcript is spliced from 4 exons. The record is from RefSeq and is a predicted model, not a curated record. NCBI's taxonomy places the organism in Eukaryota, Viridiplantae, Streptophyta, Magnoliopsida, Cornales, Cornaceae.
CAUGGUGUAUGAUCACAUAGUGAGUGGAGGAUUUCUAUUUCCUCCACUCACACAUUUUCACAUUUAAUCUCUUUCUUCCUCACCACAAAACCCUAGCCUCCAUGGAGGAAGCUUGAAGCUUUAGGCAUUGACCUUGAUCUUUGAGGCCCUUCCACUUUCUUUAGACCAUAAAGCUUGAAAUAUUUUUUGUUCCCCUCAUCCUCCUCUUCAAAACCCUUGAAGGAUCUAUCCUAACUCCUAAUUUUGCUUUGGUAUCUAAAGAUUCAAUUCUCUAGUGAGGUAACAAGCUAAAAUAUCUGUCUUGCGGACCAAAAAUUUAGGGCGAUUUCAUUUCGGUGGUAAUUGGGAUUUUCAUUCCAAUUGAGGUACAGGAUACAAGAUUGGAUAUUGCAAUUACUUGGGUGAUUUGCUGAGUUGAGCUUCUUUAGAAACAUUCUUGUUCACAUGCAAGUGUUAGCAUGUUCAUCAUUUGUCUAUGAAAUGUAAUUUUUCUAACUUGGAGGUCUGACAUGUUAAAUGUUGUAAAUGAGUUGUAAUAAGGCCAUGGGCCAUUGUAGCAUGUUUAAAAUACCAUUUUACACUUGCGUGUAUGUUCACAUCAUCACACAAUAGAAUAUAAUGCAAUUUGAUCAUGCCAUGGGGAGUCAUUGGGAUGACGUACAUCUCUAGUGGCCACUUAGUUUCCUUCGUUUUCGCAUUUCGGAUCCGUUAUCAGGUCAUUCUUUCGGUUCAUCACAGGACACACUGGGUUAAAAAAUCUAGGGUCGUCACAGGUGGUAUUAGAGCUCCUAGGUUCGAAAACUUUAAGACGACGGGUUUGGGUGCAUAUCAUGCUUUUAUUGCCAUGCUCUAUGUGUUUAUAUACUUUGUGAUAACAUGUUUUGGUUGAUAAUAUGUUUAUGUGCUUACGUGCUAUAUGUUGUAUGCCGUUUGUUUAGCAUUGUUUUAUUGUAAUGUAAAGAGUAUGACAUGUGACGUAUGCUAGAUUAGAAUUGUAUAUGCAUAAUUGUGAUGCACAUUUGGCAUGACAUGUGAUUGGUCAUUGAGGCACGAGUUGACGUUGAUGGUGAUUGUAGUCACAGUUUCGUGGUAGUAUAGGUUAUUGUCGACCUAGUAAUGGUUUUGAGGUGGGUGGAUGGUCAUCUUUUGUUUAGACUCUUGUGAGAUGAGUCAUUUGGCAUUACCGUAAUGGUGGAUUUGUUGGUUUUGGGCCAUUAUGAGGUUAUGGACCUCUUAGGUACCUUGAUUGUCCAGAAAAAUUCCUCUAGAACUUGCAUUUUUCGUGGGCGGGUACGUUUGUGGGCAGGUGCAUGGCAUUGUCAUGCUACCGUGCUGGCUAGCUACAAGCGUAAUUCGGAUGGAAUCAGUGUUGGUUUUGUUUUGAUAAGCGUUGUACUUUGAUCGGUGAUGAUGAUGGUUGUUUUGGAGAUCAUUCGUGGUGAUUGAUUUGGUUGUUGUUGGUAUGGCUAUAGUUGCCAUUUUCUUUGAGUUCUCUUUACGCAAUGACGCUUUUAGGAUCAAGUCGAUUGAUAGAUGCUUCGGGUAGAGAGAGCAUUGCAUUGUUAGUGUCACUUGUAGUGUCACCUUUAGAUUCAGAGAUGGAUUGUAAGAGUCUUACCAUUGUGGUAAGGGCUCACAUUUGUUUUGAGACAGGUUGUUGUUGCAUUGGUUUUUGGAGUCAGUGUAUGGCUAGGACUGGUCCUUCCUUUUUACCUAGGCACUCCAGGACACGAUGUCCAUAGGGUUCAUUGUUGCAUCACUUUUGUUUUCUGCAGUUUCAUUUACUACCAUGUUAGUAGUAUGAUUUAUGAUAUUGUGAUGCAUGAGUAGGUGGAGGUCUAUCCACAUUUUUCUUCUUGUUGUGUGGCGAUAACAUGCCUUUCUUAUAUGCUUCGAGAUGCCAUGUUGUUACUGCGCUUUAAUGACAUGUUUUUGUGUUUAUGUGGAGACGUGCAGUAUGUGCUUUUGAUUUUCAUCUAUGUGAGUAGAUUUUCUUUCUGGUAGUUGCAUUCCUUGUCAUAUGCAUGACUUCCAGGUUUGGUUUUCCCAUUCGUUUCCCUUGGUCGUACGUAGCCUAUAUGCGGGUUUCCACAAUGGUUUUGUGUUGGUUCGUGUUAAGGACUUCACAAGGAGUGAGUCUCUUCCCUCCGUUGCGUUAUGCACUGUUUUGGGGUUGGUCGGUCCAUGAGGAUCAUCGUUAUUGUCUUGAGUCCUUGGUGAGGAUUUGAUAGAUUUUGGUCGACUUACUUCCAUGUAGGGGGUGAAGUCUUUGACCUUAUUGUCUUUCAUUUCAGAGAUGGAGUCAUGGUGUUGUCCUUUUUAGGACUAGUGGUCCCCUUUCUUUCGUGUCUUCUCUUGGGGAGUUCCUGCCGUGGUUAUUGAUGGUUGUGGUGCUCAAAGUGAGUUGAUUGAUGUGAGAUUCUUUUUCGGGGACUUAUGUCCAUAUCAUUGAGGAUUUGUUUGAUUUGUGAGGUGAGCUCGAUGCACUUUUGAGAAUGUCUUUCGGAGACUUGUUUUCAUUUUGGAGGCCUUGAUGUGGUUGACUCUUAGGAAGAGUUUUGGAGGAUCACUGUUAGAUAUGGCUUGUUGAGGAGUUUUCUCAUCCUAGUUAUGACUAGGCAUAGUUUUGAGGAAUUGUUGUUCCAGUGAUGGUUCUUGGAUUGAAAUUGAGGAAUUUUGAUUUAGCUUGGUAAUGCCAAGCACGGUUUUGAGAGAUUCAUUUUGUGACCUUGGUUGUUGGCAUUUUGAUGUGAGUGCCACUUAGUGGACUUGUAUUUUGAGGAUUUAGUUAUCCGUGAUAAGGUUGUGGAUCUGAUGUUUGAUCAUGGUGAUUGGUCAUGUAGUUGAUCUGUUUCAGGGAGAAAUGUAGGACUUUCGAUGAAAUGUCUUGUAGUGAGUUUCGUUUUAAUUUUUGGAGGUCUUGAUUCGCUUCUCAGGCUUUGGAUUCUCGAUUGAUGUUGUUGGUAGUAGCAUUUUGAGACAUUAGAGUAGUCGGUUUUGUUGUAUUGAGGAUUUGGAGCCUUAAACAUAAUGGUGCCUAUAACAUUGUUGUCAGAGUUUGGGAUUGGUCGAGUUGGCCCAGAACAUCUUUGGACCAUAUUCUAACUCUCACAGAUGCCUAGUUCCCAUAUUGCUUUUGGCUAUGAUCGUUUUGUGACAUUGAUGUCAUUGGUAUUGAGAGGUUUCAUGGAUAGACCUAGUGGGGGGUAGGUUAUGAAUUAGUGCCUUAUACUGUCAUACUAUCGUACGAAGUUGUGUGUUGUGGGCGAGUACUAGUUGCCGUCGAUGCUACCUUACUGACGAAUAAGUGUGGGCGAGCACUAAGCACUGUCAUUGCUACCACACAUUUGAGUACGUCAUGGGCGGGUUCUGGUCGCUAUUCAUACUGCCAUGUCGUCUUUGUUCGGUACUUUGAUUUGAUUUGUGAUGAUCUUGGAGUUCAAUUGGUGGUUGUUUAUGGAUCGGUUUGGAGGUUCAUCAGGAGGAAUGCUUAUGGUUGUUGUUUUCCAUUCUUUUGUUUGACCUUAGGUUCUGUGUGUAAGUUCAGACUUGUCGUGUGGCCAUGUGGUCACUUUUCCUUUGAGAGGUCGUCUUGUCAUGAGCACGUGGGUGCAAAUGACACUGGUUUGUAUGUUCCUUUCAGCUUUGAGGUCACUAGUGUGGCAUGUUGUGUGGGAUACUCGGAGAUGUACUCUGUAGUUAUCUUGGUUUCGCCUUUUGUUGGUUGGGGCUGGAUUUCGGGGACGAAAUCCCUUUAAGGUGGGAAGGUUGUAAUAACCCGGAUUUUCACGGAUAAUUUUUUUUCCGUUGUCUUUUCCUUUUUGGGUUCAGUUUUUCAUCACUUGAUGUCGUCUCGAGUGCUCUGGAAUGAUUUUCGAGGCUCUUUUCCUUGGAUUAACAACUUUCUUUGGGGAUUGUGUCAUUUCCAUAUUUUAUUUUUUUCCGAACACUAUUCACAUUUUGUCUUUUUCUCGUUUAUCCUUUUUCCUUUCACAACCUCACUUUUUGUGCUCGGAUUUGAUUCCGGUUUUGCAUGCAUUCAUGAUAUUUGAUUUCCAUGAUAGUGGUAUUUUUACUUUUCUAUAAAAGCAUGUUGAUUGCUUACUUCCUUCAUAAAGGGGCAUUAAUGCAUACUUUAGUGUAAUUCUUCUUAACUUGUGGGGUUUUAGUGUAAUUAAAUAAAGUAAUUAUUUUACAUCUUGGGGACCAUUUUGCAAUUAAAUUUAGAAGAUAUUUUCAAAAAAGCCUUUUUGCAAUUUUUGAAAAUUGUGACAAAUGUCACACUCUCAUUGGUCCACUUGUUGACAUUUGUGUGGAAACACUUUGAUGCAUUGGAUGAUGACAUUUAGAGGGUGAGGAUUCACCCUCUUGUUAGCCUAGGAUUGGUGCACUUGUUGGCUUAGAUGGUUGACAAGUGUAGGUGUGGGAUUAAGCCUAGGAAGGAGCCAUGGAUUGGUAACAAGUGUAGGUUCACAAUUUAGUCUUGCAAAUAUCUUUGGGCCACUUUGGGAUUAUGGUUUUAAAGGAGAGUUUUUGUGCAAUUGGCCAUAGAUGUGUGUGUUGAUCGUGGUGUAGGAUCACAUAGUGAGUGGAGGAUUUCUAUUUCCUCCACUCACACAUUUUCACAUUUAAUCUCUUUCUUCCUCACCACAAAGCCCUAGCCUCCAUGGAUGAAGCUUGAAACUUUAGGCAUUGACCUUGAUCUUUGAGGCCCUUCCACUUAUUUUAGACCAUAAAGCUUGGAAUACUUUUUGUUCCCCUCAUCCUCCUCUUCAAAACCUUUGAAGGUUCUAGCCUAACUCCUAAUUUUGCUUUGGUAUCUAGAGAUUCAAUUCUCUAGUGAGUGAUUGUAUGGAUUGGAGAGGUGAAGCUGGAUGACUCGACCAGUAACAUUGUUGCAGCGGACUCCAGUCCAAGUACAACAAUCUUGUUGGAGUCCAGACCAUGAGGAUAGCCUGUUGGAAGGAUCCCAACUGAUACCUUGUUUGAAAUUGAGAAGAGCUGUUUUUUCUUUUUCACUGCAAACUCCAUGUGAAGUACCAUCACAUAAUAAUAAUAGGGCAGUUGAGAAUGAUAGCAGCCAAAGCGUGACAAGCGCUAUGCGGCUCCUCAUCAUCAUCAUCUUCAAUUCUAUCUGAUUACAAAUUUAUGAUAUCAAAUUCGUUGAUCAUAUAUGUAAAAGAAAACUCAGACAUUAUAUAUAUACACACUGUAUAUACCUUCAUUUCUGGAUCUUUUACCAAUGGGUGGGGCCCAUGUAGAAAUGAAGAUCAACUGCCCACCACAAACUUCCUGCCACGAUAAUGGAUCCAUCCAAUUUGACUUGGGAUACUGUUCACUCAUUUCAUUGUCAACGCCAAUUGCAAAACCAAAGUCUUGAAUAACAGAAAUUAAACAUGGAUUUUUUUAUUUUCUAAAAGUUCCACUUGUCUGAGUAUGGGGCUGAGA